CACGUAGGGUGCAAGCGUUGUCCGGAAUUAUUGGGCGUAAAGAGCUCGUAGGCGGUUCGUCGCGUCGGCUGUGAAAUCCCGAGGCUCAACCUCGGGUCUGCAGUCGAUACGGGCGGACUGGAGUACUGCAGGGGAGACUGGAAUUCCUGGUGUAGCGGUGAAAUGCGCAGAUAUCAGGAGGAACACCGGUGGCGAAGGCGGGUCUCUGGGCAGUUACUGACGCUGAGGAGCGAAAGCGUGGGGAGCAAACAGG
RNAcentral lists this ribosomal RNA (253 nucleotides) under uncultured bacterium. Its description in RNAcentral is "partial 16S ribosomal RNA". It matches the Rfam family "Bacterial small subunit ribosomal RNA", at positions 524 to 776 of the family's 1533-position model. The record is from RNAcentral.